This 332-nucleotide ribosomal RNA is filed under the name uncultured bacterium. RNAcentral describes it as "bacterial SSU rRNA". It matches the Rfam family "Bacterial small subunit ribosomal RNA", at positions 568 to 898 of the family's 1533-position model. The record is from RNAcentral.
CGCGUAGGCGGACUAUUAAGUUGUGGGUGAAAUCCCGGGGCUCAACCUCGGAACUGCCUGCAAAACUGUUAGUCUUGAGGUAUGAAGAGGGAAGUGGAAUUCCAGGUGUAGCGGUGAAAUGCGUAGAUAUCUGGAGGAACACCCGUGGCGAAGGCGGCUUCCUGGUCAUAUCCUGACGCUGAGGUGCGAAAGCCAGGGGAGCGAACGGGAUUAGAUACCCCGGUAGUCCUGGCCGUAAACGAUGGAUACUAGGUGUUAGAGGUAUCGACCCCUCUAGUGCCGCAGCUAACGCAUUAAGUAUCCCGCCUGGGGAGUACGACCGCAAGGUUGAA